This 391-nucleotide unclassified non-coding RNA is filed under the name soil metagenome. RNAcentral describes it as "partial contains 5.8S ribosomal RNA, internal transcribed spacer 2, and large subunit ribosomal RNA". The stretch from base 1 to 122 matches the Rfam family "5.8S ribosomal RNA", at positions 35 to 154 of the family's 154-position model. The record is from RNAcentral.
GAUGAAGAACGUAGCGAAAUGCGAUACUUGGUGUGAAUUGCAGAAUCCCGUGAACCAUCGAGUCUUUGAACGCAAGUUGCGCCCGAAGCCAUUAGGCCGAGGGCACGCCUGCCUGGGUGUCACACGUCGUUGCCCCCCCAUCUACUCCUUCGGGAUUGCGGGGGGCGGAUGAUGGCCUCCCGUGCGCCUCGUCGCGCGGUUGGCAUAAAUGCCAAGUCCUCGGCGACGCACGCCACGACAAUCGGUGGUUGCGAAACCUCGGUUGCCCGUCGUGUGCGGUCGUCGCGCAUCGAGGGCUCGAAAAAAUUGCCGGGCUCCGGCUCGGCUUUCAACGCGACCCCAGGUCAGGCGGGGUUACCCGCUGAAUUUAAGCAUAUCAAUAAGCGGAGGA